UACGUAGGGUGCGAGCGUUAAUCGGAAUUACUGGGCGUAAAGUGUGCGCAGGCGGCCGAGCAAGUCGAGUGUGAAAGCCCCGAGCUUAACUUGGGAACUGCGCUCGAAACUACUUGGCUAGAGUGUGGCAGAGGGAGGUGGAAUUCCACGUGUAGCGGUGAAAUGCGUAGAGAUGUGGAGGAACACCGAUGGCGAAGGCAGCCUCCUGGGCCAACACUGACGCUCAUGCACGAAAGCGUGGGGAGCAAAAGGG
Molecule: ribosomal RNA, 253 nt
Filed under: uncultured bacterium
Lineage: Bacteria
Description: partial 16S ribosomal RNA
Rfam family: Bacterial small subunit ribosomal RNA
Source: RNAcentral